GACAAACAGCUGGCUUUUUGAGUGCUGGUGGUCCCAACUCAGGCCUGUAAGCCAUCUUCACAGCUCUGGAAGCUGGAUCUUCGUGCAGUUGUGCAAGGCUGAGAAAAACCAGCUGUUUCUGGUGCUAUGGAAACACUGAUGGGGAAGCCAGUCCUCGAGCCUGACUGAACAGCCCCGAGGAGCAGAGAGGUGUGCACAGGCCAAGCUAAACACCGGGCUCCAGGAGUUCCACAGAUGUAGAUCCAGGAAGUGUGUUCUAGCCGAGGGGCUCUUUCUACCAUAGAGGAGGGUGGAGAGGAACGGUGUAGCAUGAACAGUAAACCUGGGUACCGAAGGAAGAGGAGAGCAUACAGAAGUGUUCCUAGCAUCCACAUCCAGCAGCUCACAACCGCCUAUAACUGGUGGUGCCGUUCAGAUAGCGGUGCGGCUACAGCUCAGCUUUAUGUGGCCAUAUUUAUGUAUCAGUAGGUAGUAAUGAGUAA
This 482-nucleotide long non-coding RNA is filed under the name Mus pahari (shrew mouse). Its description in RNAcentral is "lncRNA (MGP_PahariEiJ_G0004848.1)". The record is from RNAcentral. Lineage: Eukaryota; Metazoa; Chordata; Mammalia; Rodentia; Muridae.